CACCUUCCUCACUCUGUCUUUUCGUAUUUCUGUGCCUCACCCAGGUGCUGUCAUUUGUUACAUGGACUCCUUGGCUCUUGUGAAGAGGCAACCAUCCUGGAAAGGUGGAAUCAGCUUUAAACUUUCCACUUUGGACAAAGAAUGAGCUUUAAACUUUCCACUUUGGAGAUCCUCACUGUUGAACAUCUGUAGUUCUACCAAAUAACCACUGUAAUUUAAAAGGAUACAUGGAAAAGUUGAAAGUCUGCAA
Talpa occidentalis (Iberian mole) is the source of this 250-nucleotide long non-coding RNA. RefSeq lists it as uncharacterized. Lineage: Eukaryota; Metazoa; Chordata; Mammalia; Eulipotyphla; Talpidae. The record is from RefSeq and is a predicted model, not a curated record. The transcript is spliced from 3 exons.